GGUCAAAGGAAAUACAGAUUACGGUGGAUACCUAGGCAUCUAGAGUCGAAGAAGGGCGUCGAAACCAACGAAAAGCUUCGGGGAAGCUGUAAACAAGCAAAGCUGGAAACAAGCUAUGAUCCGGAGAUUCCCGAAUGGGGCAACCCCAAGUACUCACCCUUGAAUUCAUAGAGGGCUGAGAGGAAACCUGGUGAAUUGAAACAUCUUAGUAACCAGAGGAAAAGAAAGCAAACGCGAUUCCCUUAGUAGCGGCGAGCGAAACGGGAACAGCCUAAAUCUUCCCCGCAAGGAGAAGAGGUAGUGGGAGGAACGCCGUAAAAAUUGAAUUCUAGACGAAGCAGCUGAAUCCUGUACCAAAGAUGGUGAAAGUCCCGUAGUCGAAAGAUUUCAAUUUUUUAGUUCUUAUCCCGAGUAGCCUGGGACACGUGAAAUCCCGGGUGAAUCAGCGAGGACCACCUCGUAAGGCUAAAUACUCCUAGAUGACCGAUAGCGAACAAGUACCGCGAGGGAAAGGUGAAAUAGAACCCCUGAAGGGGAGUGAAAU
RNAcentral lists this ribosomal RNA (544 nucleotides) under Pedinomonas tuberculata. RNAcentral's name for it is "bacterial LSU rRNA". It matches the Rfam family "Bacterial large subunit ribosomal RNA", at positions 1 to 544 of the family's 2925-position model. The record is from RNAcentral. Lineage: Eukaryota; Viridiplantae; Chlorophyta; Pedinophyceae; Pedinomonadales; Pedinomonadaceae.